RNAcentral lists this long non-coding RNA (223 nucleotides) under Prunus persica (peach). RNAcentral's name for it is "long non-coding RNA (PPER_LNC000764)". Lineage: Eukaryota; Viridiplantae; Streptophyta; Magnoliopsida; Rosales; Rosaceae. The record is from RNAcentral.
GAAUGGUGAUGUUUAAUAUUGAGUCAUGCAAAUAAGUUAUAACUUACGUAGAGUACUUACAGUGAGAGGGGUAGGCCAAGCCGUUUACGACUCCUUAAUCCAAAGAGUUGUACAAGGUUGCUCAUGUGGUUGUGCCUGGCCCAGCCCAAUGCACAAAAGUAUUGUUUACUUACUACUUCCAUGGCAUAACUAAUUGUCCCUUAAAAGAUGAAGUUCAUUUCCU